CAACUUUCACUUUCUUUCUUCCCACAUACGGUUGCUAUUUAUACUCACAAAGAGUCGGCCAAGAUAAAGAACAAUAUAGCCCAAGAGAAAACCACACGGAUUAUUUGAAAGAAAGAGGUUGAGAAUCAAGAUUUCAAAAAGAGAUGGAGAGUUCUUCAUAGUGGAGGCGUGGAAGGAGCCGUAAGUUAUAGACUAGUGAGUGGCCAAAAAUGGUAGGUUAGGUUAACUUAGUGGUCCAAACAAGGCUCAACACAAAAAUAAUGAGCUCUAAAUGAAUACCAUAGCCCUCAAAGUAAAUGGGACGAACCACGAGCAAUACUAUUAAAAUAGGUUGCUUCUAACGGUCCAUAGAAAAUUGGGUUGGGUUGUCUCGAUGAUAGUGUCGAUAUAUAAUUAAAUCAUAUGGCUAAAGCCGACUGAUAAUAAAUAAAAUCGAGAUUACAUCAUUGCUCGGGAGGUCGUUUGACAACAAAUUGCCUAACAUUCACCCAUCUUUAGCCAAGGGUACCCUAGAAUUUAGCAAAUUUAGACAUGAAAACAUGACUUAAUGAUAUUGCAAACCGUUCCUAGAAAAUUUAAUGAAGUUAAUUGCACAGUAAAACCUAAGUAAAACUACCCUUUCUUUGAAGUCGAAGGCUAUUCAUAGACUCUUUGUGUGGGUUCGUAUACUGGACAUCGUGCUUUUUGUUCAUUACAUUACACAAAAGAAAAAAGAGUUUCCU
Molecule: long non-coding RNA, 722 nt
Filed under: Olea europaea (common olive)
Lineage: Eukaryota; Viridiplantae; Streptophyta; Magnoliopsida; Lamiales; Oleaceae
Description: long non-coding RNA (OEUR_LNC006292)
Source: RNAcentral